Molecule: ribosomal RNA, 475 nt
Filed under: uncultured bacterium
Lineage: Bacteria
Description: bacterial SSU rRNA
Rfam family: Bacterial small subunit ribosomal RNA
Source: RNAcentral
GAUGAACGCUAGCGGCGUGCCUAACACAUGCAAGUCGAGCGGGGUUGAAGCGAGAGGUAACUCGAGCUUCUACCUAGCGGCGGACGGGUGAGUAACGCGUGGGCAACCUGCCUCAAGGUUUGGGAUAACAGCCCGAAAGGGCUGCUAAUACCGGAUAUGCCUAUGGCCUCGCAUGGGGCUAUGAGCAAAGGGGAAACCCGCCUUGAGAUGGGCCCGCGUCCCAUCAGCUAGUUGGUGAGGUAACAGCUCACCAAGGCGACGACGGGUAGCCGGCCUGAGAGGGUGACCGGCCACACUGGGACUGAGACACGGCCCAGACUCCUACGGGGGGCAGCAGUGGGGGAUCUUGCACAAUGGGCGAAAGCCUGAUGCAGCGACGCCGCGUGAGCGAAGAAGGCCUUCGGGUUGUAAAGCUCUGUCUGGAGGGACGAACAAAAUGACGGUACCUCCGGAGGAAGCCACGGCUAACUACGUG